ACGGAGGGGGCAAGCGUUAUUCGGAAUUAUUGGGCGUAAAGGGCGCGUAGGCGGCCUGGUAAGUCAGUGGUGAAAGCCCUCGGCUCAACCGAGGAACUGCCUUUGAUACUGCCAGGCUUGAGGACGGGAGAGGGUGGUGGAAUUCCCAGUGUAGCGGUGAAAUGCGUAGAUAUUGGGAGGAACACCCGUGGCGAAGGCGGCCACCUGGACCGUUCCUGACGCUGAGGCGCGAAAGUGUGGGGAGCAAACAGG
Molecule: ribosomal RNA, 252 nt
Filed under: uncultured bacterium
Lineage: Bacteria
Description: partial 16S ribosomal RNA
Rfam family: Bacterial small subunit ribosomal RNA
Source: RNAcentral